RNAcentral lists this ribosomal RNA (372 nucleotides) under uncultured organism. RNAcentral describes it as "partial 16S ribosomal RNA". It matches the Rfam family "Bacterial small subunit ribosomal RNA", at positions 527 to 896 of the family's 1533-position model. The record is from RNAcentral.
GUAGGUGGCAAGCGUUGUCCGGAAUUAUUGGGCGUAAAGCGCGCGCAGGCGGUCCUUUAAGUCUGAUGUGAAAGCCCGCGGCUCAACCGUGGAGGGUCAUUGGAAACUGGGGGACUUGAGUACAGAAGAGGAAAGCGGAAUUCCACGUGUAGCGGUGAAAUGCGUAGAGAUGUGGAGGAACACCAGUGGCGAAGGCGGCUUUCUGGUCUGUAACUGACGCUGAGGCGCGAAAGCGUGGGGAGCAAACAGGGAUUAGAUACCCUGGUAGUCCACGCCGUAAACGAUGAGUGCUAAGUGUUAGGGGGUUUCCGCCCCCUUAGUGCUGCAGCUAACGCAUUAAGCACUCCGCCUGGGGAUACGGCCGCAAGGCUG